UACGGCUGCAUAAACAACUUUUUGUUUGCCAUUUCAGUAACUUGUUAUUUGAAUUUUGGACAUGGAGGAGACAGCUAUUGUUUCUAUAACUUCUCAUCACAUUUACUGUUUUUAUGCUUCAUAUCUGACAAGAGUGGGUGGGAGAGAAUAAUUUUUGCACUUAGUCUAGUUAAGCACAGGGAUUUAAUUAAAUUAUAAUGUUAUAGUCGGUCAUUUUUGUGCUUUGCGUAUGCAAUUACAGAAAUCUGUGGAUCUCCUGAUGUUCUUCAUGCUUGGUUUUUCUUGCAAGACCAGGUCUCUUUUUGUGCUUUUAUCUAGUUGAGUACUGAAAUUUUACAUAGCUGUUUCUGCUGUACGUGCUAAGUUUCUCUUGCAGUUCUUUGUCCUUUUAAAAUCAUGCAUUUCCUUGGGAGAUAUAAUUUUAGUGCUUAACAAGCAGUUGCUUUUGCCUUCACACUACCCAUAUCAGGAGUGAAUUUCUUUAUAAACUCUUUUUGCCUUCUAGCUCUAAUUCUAAAUCUUUAAACACAUCACAGAGGAGGGCUAUCAUGAAACCUGAUCCGGAGCCAGCAAAGGUGGUACAGAAGGAACCCACCUUCACCUGCCCUAUCUGCCUGAGCCCAUUGGUUGAAGCAUCAACAACUA
Molecule: long non-coding RNA, 645 nt
Filed under: Phoenix dactylifera (date palm)
Lineage: Eukaryota; Viridiplantae; Streptophyta; Magnoliopsida; Arecales; Arecaceae
Description: long non-coding RNA (PDAC_LNC019978)
Source: RNAcentral